GUUGUGCUCGUACAGAGGCCCAAGCCGGCCGUGCGGCCUCCGCACUCGCCAUGGCGAGAGCGUGCGUGCCAGACCGCCGCCGCCGCCACCCUCGUGGAGGAGCGCUCGUUGCAACGGCCUUCGCCGCAGCCGCCACAUGCUGCUGUCGCUGGAUGAGCAUCACCGCCGCCGCAUCGCGCCUCUCGGCAGCAGCCAACAGGUUACUUUUGCCCUUUCCACGGAACGCGCCCAACGUGUUCGGCGAUUUGCCUACGCACGGACUGACGCUUGAGAUGCUUGGAAGAAGUUGCACCUGAGGCUCAGGUGCUGAUAACGAACUGGUCGGCUCGUACAAGGACGAUAUAUCAUCUGGCAGUUGCACAUGCCACUUCCUGACGGCCGCAACAAGCACCUAACAGAUGCUCGUGAAUGGGCUUGCUCUCAGUUUCCUGAACCUGUACACUCUGGAGCCACCAACAAACACUGCUAGGCCCAAAGCCAUGAGCACCGUUGGGAUCGCGAAACUGAGCCCCCACCAACCAUUGUCCUGCAGCCAAACAAGCAGUGUGCUCGACAGAAGGGAGCCGAGAUUGAGCAGGAAGUAGUACCAGUUGAAGAAGGAGCCCUUCUUCUCCAGCUCUGUCAGGUCCUCGCUGUCGAACUGGUCGGCGCCGAAGGCCGACGCGCAGGGUUUGAUGCCAGCGCUCCCAAGCCCGGCAAGAUAAAGUCCUAGGUACACCACCACAGCAUGAUGAACAUCACCAUGGUAGUAGGAUGUCGGGACUGAUGCUGAGACCGUGAGCACGAGCAUCCCCUAUCAAAUUUGCAGUGUUGAGAGUCACAAUUAUCAUUACAGAGAUCUGGUGGGUUAGCUGUGCUGUGCUAGCCGUACUUACAAUGGUGUAGACCGGAAGGAAAACAACCAUCAUACAGUAUCUUCCCAGAUAUGUGUCAGCCAAGAAGGCCCCAAUAAGUGGCGCGAGGAAGCAUGCGCCAACCCAGGCAGAGACAUCCCGCGCGGCGGCGACCUUGCUUUCGUGGAGCACCGUGGUGAGGUAGGUCACCAAGUUGGACGCGAUUGCAAAGAAGGCGACGCAUUCGCAAAACUCGACGCCUGAGAUGCGUUGAGGGGGUCAGCAGCAAAAAGAGAAGAAGAGAAAAAACAGGAGCAGUUUGCAUGAGUGAAUCACUCUUGUCUGGUACCUAAAAUCAUGUAGCACGCCCUCCAAUUGCCUGUGUUGUGCUUCAGAGCAGGCUGAUUGUUGAUGUCAACAGAUCCAUCGCUGGUGUAUUCUGAACCUACAUCCUACAUCACAGUACCAGGACAUCCAGUUUGGAAAAUUGAAACUGUAAAUCUCUCGCGGAGGACUGACAAGGAGUAAGAGAAGAAGAGAAGUGGAGUGUAAGACAGUAUACCUGAUUAAGCAGCGGUUGCAGAUGUAGCAGGGGCCUCUCCUCGUCUGCUGCUGCUUCCAUGUCUGCUUACAAGAUGGAGCAGAAGGAGGGUCGAGGAAAGGAGCUCGGCAUCGCCUAAAAGUUACCUGCAUGUGCUCUUGUCUACUUUUGGUCUGAAGACUGGUAGGUUGCUUCCAAAUCAGUGGUAGGGUCACUAAGAUAUAUGGUAAAAAGGUGGCAAGUUCAUUCCAGAUCAAGGGAUCGCGUGUGUUGUGACUGCAUUUUCUUUUCUGGAGCAGACACACACCGUUGCAAAGACAAUCAAUGGCGCUGGUGGUGGCCUGAGGAACCAGUUACUAUGAGUCUCUGACUAUUGAUUGAUUAUGUCGGAGGGAUGGUUAAAAUAAAGAGAUGCGACGAAAACUUGAAAGGUGGAGGGAUGGCGAUGGUGGUGUCCAUAUGCACAUAGGGCCCACAAGACGUUCCCACCUGCAGCACGCAGCCAACUCUUUUCUGCCCACUAUUGCCUCAGGUAUUUGCAUUUAUAAGAGAUAUAUGACUACAUAGGAUAGGAACACGUGUGCAGGCUUAACAACACUCAUCAGAAUUAUCAAACCACCCUCUAAACUUGGAAUUAGGAAGUGAUAAACAACA
Molecule: long non-coding RNA, 2028 nt
Organism: Triticum aestivum (bread wheat)
Lineage: Eukaryota; Viridiplantae; Streptophyta; Magnoliopsida; Poales; Poaceae
Exons: 3
Source: RefSeq, a predicted model, not a curated record